CUCUAUGUGGACCCAAGUUCAUUCAAUACAAAUUCCUGCACGAAAGAUUUGAAAAGGGCCUGUGAGAAGAACGACAUUGCCAAAGCUGACCAAUUGUUCUUCACCAUUGUGAAACAAGACCAUUGGGCGGUCGUUGUUCUAAACUUGAUUCAUAAACAGUUCAAUGUGUUCGACUCCAACAUUAGAGACUCUGAUUAUGUCAGCAUCCUCGAGAAGCCUUGUUCCAAUUUGAUAGAGAACUUCAAAACUCUGGUGAGAGGAAGAAACCCUUGGAAGCACAAUCUUGACAUGUUUGAGCGCUUCAGUCCAUCAGGCUACCCACAACAGUCAACAACGUACUGUUUUCCGCAACUAUACAUUAUUUUUCUGGCAACUUUUUAUUUCAUAU
Hordeum vulgare subsp. vulgare (domesticated barley) is the source of this 388-nucleotide long non-coding RNA. RefSeq lists it as uncharacterized. The record is from RefSeq and is a predicted model, not a curated record. NCBI's taxonomy places the organism in Eukaryota, Viridiplantae, Streptophyta, Magnoliopsida, Poales, Poaceae. The transcript has 3 exons.